Long non-coding RNA from Rhipicephalus sanguineus (brown dog tick), 1079 nucleotides. RefSeq lists it as uncharacterized. The record is from RefSeq and is a predicted model, not a curated record. The transcript is spliced from 2 exons. Lineage: Eukaryota; Metazoa; Arthropoda; Arachnida; Ixodida; Ixodidae.
CACGAGCAGUCCAGGCAGCAACGAGGCUGAACGACAGCUAAUAAUUUACCUUGCUUUAUGCAGAACGCUGGUGGUGGAAGCAGGCAAGGUCUGCGGGAUCACGUCUUAAGCCGCGACACUUCGUUGCCACGUCUCUGGCCUACCGUCGCUCGUUGGGUUUCAGCACGUGUCUUCGGAAGCGGUCAGCGCGACUAGGAAUCAAGUGGGCGGAACCGGGAACAACGCCCCCUGAAAUACCGUGACGUCACAGCUCUGCUAUAAAACCACCGCUCCAUCGAGGAUCAGCCGUCAUUUCACGAGCAGUCCAGGCAGCAACGAGGCUGAACGACAGCUAAUAAUUUACCUUGCUUUAUGCAGAACGCUGGUGGUGGAAGCAGGCAAGGUCUGCGGGAUCACGUCUUAAGCCGCGACACUUCGUUGCCACGUCUCUGGCCUACCGUCGCUCGUUGGGUUUCAGCACGUGUCUUCGGAAGCGGUCAGCGCGACUAGGAAUCAAGUGGGCGGAACCGGGAACAACGCCCCCUGAAAUACCGUGACGUCACAGCUCUGCUAUAAAACCACCGCUCCAUCGAGGAUCAGCCGUCAUUUCACGAGCAGUCCAGGCAGCAACGAGGCUGAACGACAGCUAAUAAUUUACCUUGCUUUAUGCAGGUUACUGUCUGGAAUCGUGGGGUGUGACGUACAACACUUAUCUAAAAACUCUUGAACGACUUCAAAAGCGUACACUGAAAAUCAUAAGCCAAGGUGAAUCAGUAGGUAGUAUUUUCCAAUCACAACGCAUUCUCUCGGUUCCGAUGUUGCGCGACUACAAAAUUGCCGUUUCAGUAAAUAACAUAAUUAAUAGAAAUUCACCUUUGCCUGCUGAUCUUUUUUCAAUUCCUAAACGCAAUACGCGACAUGCUUCGAAUGGUAAUUUCAAUCUGCCCAAAUGUUUUAAUGUUUACGGAGAAAGACUAAUACAAUUUAAUGGAACAAAAAUAUGGAACACGGUCCCCCUAGAGAUUAAAACGGCACGUAAUUUCAGCAUGGCAUGUAAAUCAUUUUUUCUGUGGAGUCAAGACAUGUAAGCAUGUGUGUGU